CUACGGGCGGCAGCAGUGAGGAAUAUUGCACAAUGGGGGGAACCCUGAUGCAGCAGCGCCGCGUGGAGGAUGACGCAUUUCGGUGUGUAAACUCCUUUUAUAUGUCAAGAAAAUGACGGUAGCAUAUGAAUAAGCACCGGCUAACUCCGUGCCAGCAGCCGCGGUAAUACGGAGGGUGCAAGCGUUACUCGGAAUCACUGGGCGUAAAGGACGCGUAGGCGGGUUGGAAAGUCAGGUGUGAAAUCCUACAGCUUAACUGUAGAACUGCACUUGAAACUUCUAAUCUAGAGUAUGGGAGGGGGAGAUGGAAUUAAUGGUGUAGGGGUAAGAUCCGUAGAUAUCACUAGGAAUACCUAAAGCGAAGGCGAUCUCCUGGAACAUUACUGACGCUAAGGCGUGAAAGCGUGGGGAGCAAACAGGAUUAGAUACCCUCGUAGUC
Molecule: ribosomal RNA, 439 nt
Filed under: uncultured bacterium
Lineage: Bacteria
Description: partial 16S ribosomal RNA
Rfam family: Bacterial small subunit ribosomal RNA
Source: RNAcentral